RNAcentral lists this small RNA (616 nucleotides) under Pan troglodytes (chimpanzee). Its description in RNAcentral is "retained intron". Lineage: Eukaryota; Metazoa; Chordata; Mammalia; Primates; Hominidae. The record is from RNAcentral.
GUGACCAAUGACUUUGUCAUGCUGAAAGGCUGUGUGGUGGGAACCAAGAAGCGGGUGCUCACCCUCCGCAAGGUGAGGCAGGUCCUGACUCGUCAUGGGGGGGCUCUUGUAGAGGGAGGAUCUAAGGCCACAGACGCUGGUGGCCGUGUGGUGGGAGAGGAGAGGAAGGAGAGGGUGUUGGCAGUCCCUUCACACUGGCUUUGAAGUCCUGAGAUGAGGAAAUUCCCAGUCUGGCCUUGCUGGGCUGUUUGCUGCUUUGAGUGUGUCCUCAUCUGCCGGAUGGUGGGGGAGGCUGAAUUGAUCGUGUGGCUUCCCAGAUGCAGGGGCGCUGUGAACAGUGCUGAGGAAAGCCUGGCUCCUCGUAAUCCUAAAUCCCUUCCCCUCUUGGCCCACAGUCCUUGCUGGUGCAGACGAAGCGGCGGGCUCUGGAGAAGAUUGACCUUAAGUUCAUUGACACCACCUCCAAGUUUGGCCAUGGCCGCUUCCAGACCAUGGAGGAGAAGAAAGCAUUCAUGGGACCACUCAAGAAAGACCGAAUUGCAAAGGAAGAAGGAGCUUAAUGCCAGGAACAGAUUUUGCAGUUGGUGGGGUCUCAAUAAAAGUUAUUUUCCACUGA